UAUAUAAAGUUAAUAGAUAAAUCAGAUUUUCACUUUUUAAUGUAAUGAUUAUUUAUUUAAAACAUUUAUUUAUAAAUUAAUAAUAACGACCAAGUCUACUUUAUCGACGCGAUUAUGUCAUCUACAUUACCGACUCAAGAAAUUGACAUUUCACCUAUUAAUGUAAAUUUAAGGUUAAAUUUUGUUGAUAAAGCGUUAAUAACAAUUAAAAUAAGCACUACAUUGCAUUCAUUUAAUUAAAAAUGGGCGACUCCACACCAAUUUGGGACGAAGAAGCUUUAAAAUUAUACAAAGAAUCCAACAACGAAGGAAUUUAUUAUCCAACAAACCAUGUUUCGUAAAGAUCGAAAAGUGAUUCUUCCGUUUUACACGAAAAUGCGUGACUGCAAAAAAUGGAUUUUUUAGGGAUGAAAUUUUCGCUUUAUUUCAUUUGAUUUGAAGAAGCUGAGGAUAUAGUCGGGGAAUUAGGUUCGAAAGGAUUGAAUUUUGAAUAACAAAGCUGUUUAAAAAGUAACACAAUCAAUUAAUAAUUAAUUUAAUUUUGCAUGAAGUCUACUUUAUCGACUCGAUUAAGUCAUCUAUAUUACCGACUCAAAAAUUGACAUUUCACUUUUUAAUCUAAAUUUGAGGUUAUAUUUUGUUGAUAAAACCUUAAUAACAAUUAAAAUAAGAUUCAUUUAAUUAAAAAUGGGCGAUUUCAUUCCAAUUUCGAAGAAACAAAGAUAAUUUGUGUUUAAGCUUUUGAAGAAUUUGCGGUGGUGUUAAGGCGGUAUUUGGAUGAUUUAAAUAAUUCACAACGUUUGAAAUCUUUUUAAAAACGGGGCGCAAGAACCAAAAUGUUCAAAACAUCACUUUAAUGUUGGAUCUUCAAGCGCGAUUUGAAAGUUUCCACCACAAUUACUUGGAUAACUUAUUAAAAUAUCAUCAUUUAUGAUUUCUUUAACCGGAAUUGAUGAAUUAAUUGAAGUUAUCUUACUAAAUGAUUGCUGGAGGAAGUGACAUUACAGAUUGAUAAAGGAUUUUAACACUAAUGUGAGUGAUUAAAACAAUUAUUAAUCUCAUUUUUACACAAAGAAAUGUUUUUAAAUAAUUAACAAGAUUAAGUAAAGUUGAUUUGACUUAUUUAAGGAAGGGAGUGUAUUUAUAAUAAUUCAGGGUUUAAAUUCGAUAUGUUAAAUUCACGUUUCUUAUUAUAUAUUUAAAUUAUUGUUAAAUUUUGUUUAAUAUUAGUAAUAUCUAUAAACAAUAAUUUUGUAUUUAUUUUGACAAUAUCGAUUACAGAAAACUGUAAUAUAUGUUGGUAAAAUAGAAAUCUGUACAAGUGCUAAUUUAUAUUAAUAAAUAAAAUUGUUGCAA
Onthophagus taurus is the source of this 1356-nucleotide non-coding RNA. The record is from RefSeq and is a predicted model, not a curated record. NCBI's taxonomy places the organism in Eukaryota, Metazoa, Arthropoda, Insecta, Coleoptera, Scarabaeidae.